AUUGAACGCUGGCGGCAGGCUUAACACAUGCAAGUCGAGCGGGGGAAGGUAGCUUGCUACCGGACCUAGCGGCGGACGGGUGAGUAAUGCUUAGGAAUCUGCCUAUUAGUGGGGGACAACAUCUCGAAAGGGAUGCUAAUACCGCAUACGUCCUACGGGAGAAAGCAGAGGAUCUUUGGACCUUGCGCUAAUAGAUGAGCCUAAGUCGGAUUAACUAGUUGGUGGGGUAAAGGCCUACCAAGGCGACGAUCUGUAGCGGGUCUGAGAGGAUGAUCCGCCACACGGGGACUGAGACACGGCCCAGACUCCUACGGGAGGCAGCAGUGGGGAAUAUUGGACAAUGGGGGGAACCCUGAUCCAGCCAUGCCGCGUGUGUGAAGAAGGCCUUAUGGUUGUAAAGCACUUUAAGCGAGGAGGAGGCUACUUUAGUUAAUACCUAGAGAUAGUGGACGUUACUCGCAGAAUAAGCACCGGCUAACCCUGUGCCAGCCGCCGCAGUAA
This 501-nucleotide ribosomal RNA is filed under the name uncultured bacterium. RNAcentral describes it as "partial 16S ribosomal RNA". It matches the Rfam family "Bacterial small subunit ribosomal RNA", at positions 30 to 523 of the family's 1533-position model. The record is from RNAcentral.